CAGCCGCCGCGGGAAUACAGAGGGUGCGAGCGUUAAUCGGAUUUACUGGGCGUAAAGCGUGCGUAGGCGGCUUCUUAAGUCGGAUGUGAAAUCCCUGAGCUUAACUUAGGAAUUGCAUUCGAUACUGGGAAGCUAGAGUAUGGGAGAGGAUGGUAGAAUUCCAGGUGUAGCGGUGAAAUGCGUAGAGAUCUGGAGGAAUACCGAUGGCGAAGGCAGCCAUCUGGCCUAAUACUGACGCUGAGGUACGAAAGCAUGGGGAGCAAACAGGAUUAGAUACCCGCGUAGUCCCUGCCUCUUAUAC
RNAcentral lists this ribosomal RNA (301 nucleotides) under uncultured bacterium. Its description in RNAcentral is "partial 16S ribosomal RNA". It matches the Rfam family "Bacterial small subunit ribosomal RNA", at positions 509 to 807 of the family's 1533-position model. The record is from RNAcentral.